GGGAGGGGAUAGAGAAGAUGGGAAAAACUAAUUAAGAUUUCUAUAAUAAUACUUGGAUACUUUCUUCCGUAAUCUCCGCCGCUUUUAUUCCAAAAAAAAAGUUAUUAAUGGAAUAUCAGCAAGGGUGAGAACGAAAAGAAUAUGAUAGUCUAUUAUUAAGGAAAAGAUGCAACAACUUAUUCCAUGUCAGCAUUUUCGAAGUGAGUCAACUCCUCAUUGUGUAGACAUGCAAUUGGUUUUAUUUCAAACUUUACUGAGGGAAUUUCAAGAUGUUUAAGUAACAAAUAUUGGUAUUUAUUCAAAGGGUUGCCUUUCUCGCAUAUGAUAACUUUUCCCUGAUCAGAGCCAAGAAGAGUUGGCUUAAGCUGAGGAAAUUGCUUUCUCAUAUAAAAUUCUGCAUUUUUGUAUAAACAUUCUAACUCUGUGUUUGGUUCAACAACGCAAGUAAUGUCAGAUAGUGAACCUUCUCUACCAAAUUCCAUCGUAGAACUUUCUUCCAGUACCUUGUUUAAGUUACUAGGAGCCAAGUCUGUAAAUAUAAGACCUCUUUCCCCGCGAAGAAAAGAAGAGAUUUUAUGAGCAUUCUUUGCAGACUCUGAAUCUGAGUCUGCACCAAAUGCGACCUGAAGAAGUUUGUUUUUCCCAACUAAUAACUUUCCAGGUUCAAGCCUAACUCUAAGUUGUUUUAAAGCAGCAUUUCUUUGGUUCUUCAGCUUAACAACAUAAAUAAACUUGAAUUUACCAAUGUACUCAUGUACGUUUUCGAUUAUUUCUGACUUGUCCUUUCUCUUCUUCUUCAGAUCCUUGGUCAUAAGGACCUUCUUUACUCUCUUUGAUUUUGCCAUCUUCUUUUAACCUACUUUCUUUUUUCCUCCC
This 876-nucleotide non-coding RNA is filed under the name Cryptosporidium parvum. Lineage: Eukaryota; Apicomplexa; Conoidasida; Eucoccidiorida; Cryptosporidiidae. The record is from RNAcentral.